Molecule: ribosomal RNA, 508 nt
Filed under: uncultured Fibrobacteres/Acidobacteria group bacterium
Lineage: Bacteria; Pseudomonadati
Description: bacterial SSU rRNA
Rfam family: Bacterial small subunit ribosomal RNA
Source: RNAcentral
CGUUUUACAAGUUAGUUGGCGGGGUAAUGGCCCACCAAGACGAUGAUCGGUAUCCGGCCUGAGAGGGCGCACGGACACACUGGAACUGAAACACGGUCCAGACUCCUACGGGAGGCAGCAGUGGGGAAUUUUGCGCAAUGGGGGAAACCCUGACGCAGCAACGCCGCGUGGAGGAUGAAAUAUCUUGGUAUGUAAACUCCUUUCGAUGGGGAAGAUUAUGACGGUACCCAUAGAAGAAGCCCCGGCUAACUUCGUGCCAGCAGCCGCGGUAAUACGAGGGGGGCAAGCGUUGUUCGGAUUUAUUGGGCGUAAAGGGUGCGUAGGCGGUUUGGCAAGUCUUAUGUGAAAUCUUCAGGCUCAACCCGAAGCCUGCAUAAGAAACUGCCGGGCUUGAGUAUGGGAGAGGUGAGUGGAAUUUCCGGUGUAGCGGUGAAAUGCGUAGAUAUCGGAAGGAACACCUGUGGCGAAAGCGGCUCACUGGACCAUAACUGACGCUGACGCACGAAAG